UAGGGAAUCUUCCGCAAUGGGCGAAAGCCUGACGGAGCAACGCCGCGUGAGUGAUGAAGGUCUUCGGAUCGUAAAACUCUGUUAUUAGGGAAGAACAUAUGUGUAAGUAACUGUGCACAUCUUGACGGUACCUAAUCAGAAAGCCACGGCUAACUACGUGCCAGCAGCCGCGGUAAUACGUAGGUGGCAAGCGUUAUCCGGAAUUAUUGGGCGUAAAGCGCGCGUAGGCGGUUUUUUAAGUCUGAUGUGAAAGCCCACGGCUCAACCGUGGAGGGUCAUUGGAAACUGGAAAACUUGAGUGCAGAAGAGGAAAGUGGAAUUCCAUGUGUAGCGGUGAAAUGCGCAGAGAUAUGGAGGAACACCAGUGGCGAAGGCGACUUUCUGGUCUGUAACUGACGCUGAUGUACGAAAGCGUGGGGAUCAAACAGGAUUAGAUACCCUGGUAGUCCACGCCGUAAACGAUGAGUGCUAAGUGUUAGGGGGUUUCCGCCCCUUAGUGCUGCAGCUAACGCAUUAAGCACUCCGCCUGGGGAGUACGACCGCAAGGUUG
Molecule: ribosomal RNA, 550 nt
Filed under: uncultured bacterium
Lineage: Bacteria
Description: bacterial SSU rRNA
Rfam family: Bacterial small subunit ribosomal RNA
Source: RNAcentral